GGGGUUAUAGGACAAGUUGUACAAGUUGCACAAGUUGUCAGAAGAUCACAAGAAAACCAUUGAGCUAGAUGCAAAAGAGCUGCAAUUUAAAUGAUGCUCGGGAUAGAUCCAUUUUUGUUAAAAUGAUUGCAAAGCGAAAUAAUCAUUUUGCUCCAAUUUUUGUUAGCUAGAAUUCUGCAUGAAAGUGAAAUAAAAAAAAUAUUAUUGUAGACUUCUAUGAAAUGGAAGAAAUGAUUACAGGAACAGAACACAAAAUCAACCAUGGAUCAUUAGCCACAAGCAUGGAGCAAAGCGAAAUGAUUUGAAUGGGUAGCUUUCAAUGGUCGUGCACUCCUGCCUUUCAAUAUCAAUAUAGCCAGAUAGUUCUAAUAACCUGCAAUGACACUUCAGUUGAAUCUGCUUCACUUUCUCUUAGUAUCACCCUCACCCGAC
RNAcentral lists this long non-coding RNA (432 nucleotides) under Setaria viridis. Its description in RNAcentral is "long non-coding RNA (SVIR_LNC010999)". Lineage: Eukaryota; Viridiplantae; Streptophyta; Magnoliopsida; Poales; Poaceae. The record is from RNAcentral.